AUACGAGGGGUGCAAGCGUUGUUCGGAAUUACUGGGCGUAAAGGGAGCGUAGGCGGAGAUUCAAGCGGAUUGUACAAUCCCGGGGCCCAACCCCGGCUCUGUAGUCCGAACUGGAUCUCUUGGAUAGUUCAGGGGCAGGCGGAAUUCCUGGUGUAGCGGUGGAAUGCGUAGAGAUCAGGAAGAACACCGAUGGCGAAGGCAGCCUGCUGGGGACUUAUCGACGCUGAGGCUCGAAAGUGCGGGUAGCAAACAGGAUUAGAUACCCUGGUAGUCCGCACCGUAAACGAUGCAUACUGGGUGUCCGGGGGUUCCCCCGGGUACCGUAGCCAACGCGUUAAGUAUGCCGCCUGGGGAGUACGUACGCAAGUAUGAAACUUAAAGGAAUUGACGGGG
RNAcentral lists this ribosomal RNA (393 nucleotides) under uncultured bacterium. RNAcentral describes it as "partial 16S ribosomal RNA". It matches the Rfam family "Bacterial small subunit ribosomal RNA", at positions 523 to 918 of the family's 1533-position model. The record is from RNAcentral.